UCCAGCAGCUGUACCACCUGCAGUUCAGAGAGGGUAAUCCACCUGAAGCUAACUAGCUUUGGAUCUUGCGUGUACUUGGAUGGGAGACCAGCUAUAAAAACAGGGUUGCUGCUGGAU
This 117-nucleotide ribosomal RNA is filed under the name Paramormyrops kingsleyae. The record is from RNAcentral. Lineage: Eukaryota; Metazoa; Chordata; Actinopteri; Osteoglossiformes; Mormyridae.